Long non-coding RNA from Nylanderia fulva, 761 nucleotides. RefSeq lists it as uncharacterized. Lineage: Eukaryota; Metazoa; Arthropoda; Insecta; Hymenoptera; Formicidae. The record is from RefSeq and is a predicted model, not a curated record.
CAAUGGGUCACGUUAUCUGGAGCGAUGUGACAUAACUCGCUCACUUUGUCGUCGCGCAGGCAAAGCUUCGUAAUUUUUCGUGAUCGCGUCUGGGUCUGCGUGGCACGUGCCUCAAGUAACGCCCACGUUCAUAAGACUCUCGUUGCAUGGCAGCCUGUCGGGCAUGGAUUUGCGAACUAAAAGUUUAACGCAUUAACUUACUGCGCGAGAGGAUGUGGGCAUUUGUCGUCGACAACAAGCCAGCUGUAGCCGAGGACGCAGCUUCCACUAUAUGCCAGUGCAUGUCUUUGUUUACCUUGCGAGACACGACUCUUUUGUCCAUUUAGAUUACAUUCUCGAACAAAGCUGAAGAAUUUCUUUCACAAUAAACCGAACGUAUGUCGCGUCAAGAUUUUAAAGAAGACAUCGGAACAGAAAAUACAUCCGUGCAAAUACAUUUAAAAAGUAUAAAUAUACAGAAGCGACUUGCCUCGAGUGUUUCGAGAGUGCAGACUUUUGAUACAUCUCUAAACAGUUGGAACACUUCAAUCGUCCCUGCCAUUUUUAUCGGAAGUCGUCUGAUGGUUAUUUCCGGAGGUAAGAGCAAAGGACACGCAAGCCUAUAUUAAUUUUUGAGAGCAAUCGAAAAAAUAAGAGGGCAUCGAACAAAGGAAAUUCCAGUAGUAUUAAUUCAUCGUUAUCGACCUGUGAAAUUGCCGGAAGAGAAGUAAAGUCAAUCCACUCAUAUUUGUGGAGUACCCUAAUUACUGGACGCAAUGUAU